GAAUUCACUAGUGAUUCUAACACAUGCAAGUCGAGGGGUAUAGUUCUUAGGAACUAGGGACCGGCGCACGGGUGCGUAAUGCGUAUGCAAUCUUCCUUUUGCAGAGGGAUAGCCCAGAGAAAUUUGGAUUAAUACCUCAUAGUAUGUGAGAAUGGCAUCAUUUUCACAUUAAAGUCACAACGGCAGAAGAUGAGCAGGCGUCCCAUUAGUUUGUUGGUAAGGUAACGGCUUACCAAGGCAACGAUGGGUAGGGGUCUUGAGAGGGAGAUCCCCCACACUGGUAGUGAGACAUGGACCAGACUCCUCCGGGAGGCAGCAGUGAGGAAUAUUGGACAAUGGGCGCAAGCCUGAUACAGCCAUGCCGCGUGCAGGAUGACGGUCCUAUGGAUUAAAGAUGCUUUUGUACAGGAAGAAACACUGGUUCGGAACCAGCUGACGGUA
This 441-nucleotide ribosomal RNA is filed under the name uncultured bacterium. Its description in RNAcentral is "bacterial SSU rRNA". It matches the Rfam family "Bacterial small subunit ribosomal RNA", at positions 34 to 477 of the family's 1533-position model. The record is from RNAcentral.